CCUACGGGGGGCAGCAGUGAGGAAUAUUGGUCAAUGGACGAGAGUCUGAACCAGCCAAGUAGCGUGAAGGAUGACUGCCCUAUGGGUUGUAAACUUCUUUUAUAAAGGAAUAAAACGAGGCACGUGUGCCUUUUUGCAAGUACUUUAUGAAUAAGGAGCGGCUAACUCCGUGCCAGCCGCCGCGGUAAUACGGAGGAUCCUAGCGUUAUCCGGAUAUAUUGGGUGUAAAGGGAGCGUAGAUGGGUUGUUAAGUCAGUUGUGAAAGUUUGCGGCUCAACCGUAAAAUUGCAAUUGAUACUGGCAGUCUUGAGUACAGUUGAGGUAGGCGGAAUUCGUGGUGUAGCGGUGAAAUGCUUAGAUAUCACGAAGAACCCCGAUUGCGAAGGCAGCUUACUAAACUGUGACUGACAUUGAUGCUCGAAAGUGUGGGUAUCAAACAGGAUUAGAUACCCCUGUAGUC
RNAcentral lists this ribosomal RNA (460 nucleotides) under uncultured bacterium. RNAcentral's name for it is "partial 16S ribosomal RNA". It matches the Rfam family "Bacterial small subunit ribosomal RNA", at positions 338 to 795 of the family's 1533-position model. The record is from RNAcentral.